RNAcentral lists this ribosomal RNA (253 nucleotides) under uncultured bacterium. RNAcentral's name for it is "partial 16S ribosomal RNA". It matches the Rfam family "Bacterial small subunit ribosomal RNA", at positions 524 to 776 of the family's 1533-position model. The record is from RNAcentral.
UACGAAGGGGGCUAGCGUUGUUCGGAAUUACUGGGCGUAAAGCGCGCGUAGGCGGAUCUGCAAGUCGGGGGUGAAAUCCCGAGGCUCAACCUCGGAACUGCCUUCGAUACUGCGGGUCUCGAGUCCGGGAGAGGUGAGUGGAAUUCCUAGUGUAGAGGUGAAAUUCGUAGAUAUUAGGAAGAACACCAGUGGCGAAGGCGGCUCACUGGCCCGGUACUGACGCUGAGGCGCGAAAGCGUGGGGAGCAAACAGG